GACGAACGCUGGCGGCGUGCUUAACACAUGCAAGUCGAACGGAAAGGCCCUGCUUUUGUGGGGUGCUCGAGUGGCGAACGGGUGAGUAACACGUGAGUAACCUGCCCUUGACUUUGGGAUAACUUCAGGAAACUGGGGCUAAUACCGGAUAGGAGCUCCUGCUGCAUGGUGGGGGUUGGAAAGUUUCGGCGGUUGGGGAUGGACUCGCGGCUUAUCAGCUUGUUGGUGGGGUAGUGGCUUACCAAGGCUUUGACGGGUAGCCGGCCUGAGAGGGUGACCGGCCACAUUGGGACUGAGAGACGGCCCAGACUCCUACGGGAGGCAGCAGUGGGGAAUAUUACACAAUGGGCGGAAGCCUGAUGCAGCAACGCCGCGUGCGGGAUGACGGCCUUCGGGUUGUAAACCGCUUUCGCCUGUGACGAAGCGUGAGUGACGGUAAUGGGUAAAGAAGCACCGGCUAACUACGUG
RNAcentral lists this ribosomal RNA (468 nucleotides) under uncultured bacterium. Its description in RNAcentral is "partial 16S ribosomal RNA". It matches the Rfam family "Bacterial small subunit ribosomal RNA", at positions 28 to 507 of the family's 1533-position model. The record is from RNAcentral.